GCCCCUACGCGCGCCCUUAGUUGCCGGAAAUCUCGGUUAAGCGGUGGGUGGUCAAAGACAAAGUGUUGCUUGCUGUUCCACCAUCGAACGAUUCCAGCGGCGCGACGCGCGUCCCAGCGGGAGAGGCCUUUUAUCCCCUCCACCCCUCAUCUCCCUCCCGCACGCGAAGGGGCGCAAGAGAGCAUGGCGGAAGGUCGGCUGCAAGAUUGAAGCGGCACUAGGCAAGCUCGAGGGACGUAGGCCGGAAGCCGUGGCUGUCUCCAUGAAGGCCGUCCUCGGAGCCUACCUCGGCGUGCACGUAUUGGCGGCGUUCCCCAUGAUUUCACCCGUAUGGCUGGGCUCUUCUCAGGGCGGAAACGCUCCUAGGCUUGCUGUAGAUCGAGGGAGGCCGCGGCCAAGGGGACCUGCAUCGUGACGCAGGACAUGGACUUCAUGGUGAGGGAUGAGGGCGAGCACAUGUCGCCACUGCAGUUCACGACUUCUCUCGGUCACCGAUUCCGGUGUUCCCCGCCACUGGCAUCUUUAUUUGCGAUUCUGUCGAUGAUGACCUCUUAUUUCCUUCCAUGGUAUGUGGUGCUUCGGUUAGACCUGCAGAUUCAAUUGCAUUUUUUGACGAUUUGUUUUCCUAUCCGUUCAUUAUUGUUUGCAGGCUGCUCCUACCGCCGAUUAAUUUCACGACCCUGAAGUUCCUUUGGUCUUCACGAAGGAUCGAAUCAGGACUUUCACAUGUUCAGCUGCUGUGAUUCUGUCUUCUUUUGCAUGAAACCAUGCUAACCACGCCUCUUCAAAAAAGAUUCAGGUGCUCUUAGUGCAACAAUAUAAUUGCUCUGCUUGGUAGCGCAUGCUGAAGCGAUGGCCUGCAUGGUUGGUGCAAUGUAAGCUCAAUACUUCUUCAUAUAGGUUUCCACAGGUUCUCGAUGAGUAUGCGUGGUGUUGCAGGCCAUCGGCGAGUCCGACCUGCUUCUUUACCUCCUCCAGCUCCACGCCAUUGUCAUGGGCUGGAUGCUGUUAUUGAUGUGUCGCCGCCUCGCCGUGGUGGUUCUUCUGCUGAUACACAGAUCCAAGGCGGUGUAGGCAUCCUGUUCCUGAGCAAGGUCGUGGCCAAUCGGCUUCUUCUGAUACAUCUCAUAUGAAACAAUCAAACUAUAGGCAUGUACACCAUCCACAUAUUCGAUUAAAGGCCCAAUCAACAUUAUUUACAGGAAAUUUGACCUUGCAUGAUGGAUCUACAAGGGCUAUGGUCUUCACCAGGUGAGCUAAAUCCACCUUGCAGUUGUCAAUGGGCAGUUACUUCAUCAUCAACUGUAUGACUUCAAUUGAAGUUAAGCUCAAUCAUUGCAUAUGUAACUGCUACCGUCAUUACUUUAAAAGGACAUUUUAGUUUAAUGAUUAGUCUGGUAGUCAAAUAUGUCGGACAUCCUGUACGGAAAGCACAUACGUGGGCUCAAGCUUUGCUUACACUACUAUGCAUAGUAACAUAAUAUCCAUGCUUUGGAUUUUCGGCAAACAUGACAAAUUGAGUGCUACAAUGUAUGUGGAUUCAUUCCUCUUAGUAUGUGAUGAUGAAAACUUUGCAAUGCUCCUUGACUAGCAUAUCUACUCAGUAAUCUGUCUGGCUUGAAUCUGUGAAAUAUACAAAAAAAGGGACUUUUUUUUGCUUUUAUCAUGACUAAAUACCUCAAGUUUUUUUUGUUAAUGGUUAAAUCAGAAACUUGUAACCACGAGUGUGGUUCAAGCAGCGCUAUGAAUGAAGACACUAGACCAUCUCUAAUUAAAAGCAAAAGAUAUUUUGACAAUGUGUUCGGUAGGUAUUUUAUUUUUUGAGAAUUGGUAAGGCUAAUUUUGACUAUCAGAGAUAAAAAUAAUAUUUAAACAAAAAGAAGCAAACUGUGGUCAUACAUCUUUCUUUCUAUGAAAAAAGUGAACAAUUAUUCAUUUGAUUAUUACGCAUGCGAUGCCUAAAGUUAUAUGGCAAGCCAUUUGGAACUAUGUUGAUGGUGCCUGCUAUCUCUUCGCACAUUAAACGACACUAGACCAUCUCUAAUUAAAAGUAAAAAUAUUUUCACAAUGUAUUCAGUAGGGCUUU
Lolium perenne is the source of this 2086-nucleotide non-coding RNA. NCBI's taxonomy places the organism in Eukaryota, Viridiplantae, Streptophyta, Magnoliopsida, Poales, Poaceae. The record is from RefSeq and is a predicted model, not a curated record.